AUUCAAAUAGCUUAUUUAGAGCAUAAUAUUGAAGAUAUUAAGGAAAUAAUUAUUAUUUUUGAAUA
Molecule: transfer RNA, 65 nt
Filed under: Micrambina sp. MIC01
Lineage: Eukaryota; Metazoa; Arthropoda; Insecta; Coleoptera; Cryptophagidae
Description: tRNA-Phe
Source: RNAcentral